This 6330-nucleotide long non-coding RNA is filed under the name Sus scrofa (pig). RNAcentral's name for it is "lncRNA (ENSSSCG00000048420.2)". The record is from RNAcentral. Lineage: Eukaryota; Metazoa; Chordata; Mammalia; Artiodactyla; Suidae.
GGGCUGUCUAGAUACAAUAAUGUGAAGAAAUGCUUACUUAUUUGUGUUACUAUAAUGGCAUUCUUCUUGAAAUUUUUGUACAUGUUUAAACACUAAAACAAUGUUUAUAACUUUGUAUAUUGCUAUGUGACAAUCUAAAAUGCAUAUAGGGGUUAUUGUAGAGAAACUUGCCUGAAAAAACAUGGCAAAAUUUUAACAUUACUGUAUAAAGAGAUGAGAAAUUAAGGGUCUGCUGCUACUUUCCCACAUUUGUAAUUUUAAAGGUGUUUCAAAAGCAACGUUUAAACAACGAAGGGAAUUCUAGAGAUAUAAUUGAUUUGUGCCUGUCCUGAUUGUUGCCUAUUGACAUCUUGGGAAUGUUGGGCUGUUGUAUCCAACUUUGUAUCCUCAGUGGCUGUAAUGAAUAGUUUUGAGUGAUCAUGAAGAACCUGUGACAUAGACUAGUGCAGCAGAGUUACCCAGCGAAAUAAAGACUGUUGGGUUACCGAAGGAAAGAAGAAGAAAGAAGACAGGAUUUGAGGUGAACAUGGUAAAAAAUGACACACUUGCAUAUAACCUGAGGAUAGCUGGCAUCAGGAACAUCCUUAUGCAACUAUGCCUAUGGAGUUCUUAUUCUUAUGCAAACAUGCCUAUGGAGUUCUUUCAUUUAUAAAUUUCAAAUUUAAACCACAGGUGAUGACAGUUACAAGAAAACAUACUUUUGCCACUUUUGUUUUUAAAUCUCAGUAAUUGGUACCACCAGACCUGUUGCAGUAUUCUCAUUCCAAGUGUUCUUCACUCCCAUCUUUGGACCCUGGAGAAGCCCUUGGCCAUCAUAAUCUGUGUCCUUUAGGUGAUGAUUGAUUAGGAUACUGAUCACUUCUGCAACCAUCUUCACUAAAAACCAAAAGACAGUCUUCAUAAUGUAUGUAGACUCGGCAUUGAUGUGUUACAAUAGACACUCCCUGUAGAUCAGAAAAACUGGACUUAGAAGGCUCAAGUUCGAAAGUGACGUGAAGGAUGUUAUUGGAGAGAAUUGUAACCAGGCAUGUUGAGAGAUUUCAAUUGUUGCCAUUGGACUAAAUCUCAGGAGCUUUACUGAUGGAGGCAUCAUUACAUGGAGAAGAUCAGCAUGGAGUGAUUGCAAGGCUUCGUUUCAGUGCUCUCAUAAACAUUAGGUUCUUGUAUUUAAAAUUUUAACUUAUCACAGGGAAAUUUAAAAUUGAUUCAUAAAAAAUCGUCUUUUUCAAGAUCUCAAAGGACAUGGAAAUUUGUGAAAAUAUUCCCUGUCUAUACUUGCAUUUUUUCUCUCAAUUGGUGCUUAAAAUUACUUUGCAAGUUGGAAAAAUAAUGCAGUUUUAAUUUCAUUUGCAACAAAUUUAAUAGAUUAAUUAGGAGAGACUAGAUCUCUUUAAAAAUUGAGUCUUCCUACCCAACAGCAAGUAUCUCCCUCUGUACUCUCCCAGGUGGUGAACAUAUGGACAAGAGGAUCAUAGAAAUCUUCACAGUGGUUUCAUCCACAGCAUCACCCAAUUGCUGUCAUUAUUUACCCCUUUCAGAAGCUUGUCUCAUCUUUGUAUCCCGAAAGGCAUGCCUUGAUAUAUGUAUCCUUGGGAAUAGAAGUGACGUUGCUUUUGACAAGUAAUUUCCUUGAAUGUUGUUAGUAGUUCUCUGUGCUCUGAAUGUAUCUUGUGUUUUUCUUUAUUAUUGUUUUUACCCCAUUGGACUUUUUUUAUCCAUGUUUUACUUUACAAAUGUGAGAUUUGUGUGUGAUAAAUAUGAUUAGUGCAACCCUCUGGACACCUUGCUCAUGGCCCAGUUAAUAACCAGGCUUUCCCAUGACCCCAUGCUUCCCAUGUACUAUUUUUGGUAUCAUUUUUAAGAUACUUUGUUCCUCUUUUGAAUCAUAAGCCCACAGUUUUUAGGUCAAUCCCUUUUAAAAAAAUGUUUUUUUAAAAGAUCCUUUUAAAACUUUUGUAUUGCCUGUAACAGGCUGCCUCCAGUUUCACUUUAUAUUGAACCUACUAGGUCUCAAUAUAGAACAUGAUCUGAAUCUGAGUGUAGUUUUUCUCUUCCCAAUAUACAAAUAUAAUUCCUGGAUGCCAUCACAACACUAGUGUAUAGGUGAACCAUACGCUUUCAUUGACAUUUGAAGCCAUGGUAAAGCAAUCUUGUAGAAAAUGGUUCCACAAUUUUCUUGGCAUCACUGACAUGUUCUUAUUUGUGACUGGAGUAAAAACUCAAGUUAGCAAAGAGAUUUUCAUUUAAUCCAUAUUACUCUGAUUUUCACUCAUAUCUGUUUACUCUGAGUGGGCUUAUUAUAGAUAGCUGUGUUUAUUCGAAGUUUUGUUUACUUCUGGAACAUAAGCUGCCCUGUCAUUAGAGAACUAGUAAUUACAUUGUCCAGACUCUUACUAUACAGGCUAAAACUGAAUGCAUUGAUAUGGGCCACAGAGAAUGAAUGGGUUAUUAAAGAAUUUAAAGUGAAUUGUCAUUCAUCCUUCAUUUUCCAUUCCUACUUUCUAGGGUGACCAUUUAUGGUAUAGUGGUCAAUAAUUUAUCUAAGCUUAUAAAUUUAUGUGCAAUUUAUUUUACAAAUAUGUAGUCAAUAUGGUUGUAUUUUACAAAUUUAUUUUUUUUAAUAUUUUUGGACAUAUUUUCAAACCAGUAAUUAUAGCUUAAGUACACACUUUCCAUUGGAUGUAAAGUACAUACCAUAGUACACUUAUGCAUUUCUCUAUUUGAGAAAUAGAGGUUAACUGUUUGUUGUUGUAUAUAAUACUAUGAUAUAUGUUUUAUAUACAUAUAUAACUGAUCUCCUAAUUCUAUGAUAGAUUUAGAUGUGACAUUGUGGAUCAUUAAUUGUGCAUACUUUGAUUUUAGUUGAUAUUUUGAAAUUACUUUUGAAAUGUUUUCUAAGCCAGCAUAUGCAAUGUAGUAUAAUGGCAGUGCUAAUUUUCACAAAAAUCUGUACAUGAUGGAUAUUAUCAAUCCUUUAAACUUUUGGCUAAUCUAAUAGGUGAAAAUAUUAUUUAAAUUAAGUAUAAAUUAUAAACGGGCAAACAUAAAAAGACCAACUAAAAUGGAAAGCGAUAGUCCACAUUUCAUCUAAUUUCAAGAGUUGUGAGACAUAGAAACCAUAAACGUUUUUAAAAUGUAGUGCUUCUUGGAGGUUCAUAAACUUCCUAAGUAUAUCUUAUACCAGUGUUUAAUUUUUGACUAUUUAUUUUUGGAAUAAUUUUAGAGUCAGUGUUGCAAAAAUCAUGUGGGCAACCCCCAUAUAUUCUAUAAUGUGUGUCUACCUCAGUGGUUCACAGUAAAUGGUGAGUGAUGUCACUUAUUGAUGACAUUAAAUUUGAUCACUUGAUUCAAUUGAUAUUUACUAUGUUUCUCCACUUUGUAAUUAAUAUUCUAUGGGGAAAUCAUUUGAAUAUGUGUAAUUUUGCAGUAUAGUUUUAGCAUUCACAAGUUAAGUCUUGUGAAUCCAACUUUUACACUAUGGUUUUAGCAUUCACAAGUAAGUCUUAGCAGAAUCAAUGAUUUUUCAAAAUCUCUUUUACUGGUUAUGUAUAUUAGUUGGCAUUUUUUUUAAAGGGAGUUUGUGUAUCAUGGCUUGUGAGAAAUGCUCAAUGAAAUAUUUUCUAACUUAAAUACCGUGUGAAAGAAUGAGAUGGUGAUUCACAGUUCAGAGCUGAGAAAGGGUUAUUUAAAAGAUUUAAUGAAGUUUAUGUCUAAACUAGAGAGCUGUAUGUGAGAGGCAUAUAUAACUCUUUAAGAGAUAGUUGAUUAAAUACAUGGUAGAGGGAGAAAAGCAUGUUUUUGUAAUAAGUUCCAACUAGGGAAUGUAACCAUGCCAUCAUUACUGGUGAAAUGGGCAACAGUUUUCUUGAACUGACUGUAUAGUAGGUUCAGAUUCACUAUAGACUGAUAUUCCAUAUAGAUGUUCAAUUACCAGUGUUCCUCCCUAUUUUUUUUAAUUUGUUAGGUUUCCAUAAACCUGUUAUAGUGUCUGAGAUUGAUGAUGAAUGACAUAUGUUGCAGAUGCUAUCUAAAGAUGAGUACUCAGUUUUCAGAGUUGUUAUUUAUGUUUAACCUGUCACUGUUCCUCCAACAUUCUGUAGUGAUGUCUAUAGAUGAUAUAGACUGCUGCAUUUAUUAUGUUGGCUAAAAUCUCUAUAUCCCUAAAUUCUGUUCUCGGUUAUCUAUAACCAGGGAACUAUAAGCAGACUACUAAAUGUAAUCUCAAAUUUUAUGCUAGUUAAAUAAGAUAUAGAGAAUGAAGAUAUUCUAAGUUUUGAAAAGUGACACAUGGCCUGGUUAAAUUGAUGAAAUGUUCUUUUCUUUUUUCUUUUUUUUUUUUUUUUGGCCACACCUGUAGCAUGUGGAAGUUCCCAGACCAGGGAUCAAACCUUCACCACAGCAGCAGCCUGAGCCAUUGCAGUAGACAACACUGGAUCUUUAACCUACUGCACUACAAGAGAACUCCUUGAUGAAAUAUUGAAAUCUUGUUAAUCAUCCUGAAUAUGAUGAGUUUCAAAAUAUGGAUCAGCGUUCCCUAGGUGCAGGCCAGGAAUAGAAAUGUCAUACCAGUUUGCAAAUUGUAAAUCAGUGAAGAGUAUUUAUAGAGGCAUGGGCAUGACCUAAGGCUUUGGCUCAAAAUGGUCAUCUGAAUAUUCUCCACCCCCUGUAAUCUAAAUUUCUGCUUAGUCUCUGAUGACAUGCUUAUAGUGGAGGCUCAGUGAAUAUUGGCCAUAGUGUGUGAAGGGGAAAAUGGAAGUGAAGCCAAAAUUUGUGACUAUAAACAAAUGAAUUAUGAACUUAGUGAAUGUGCAGAUAAAUAGGCAAAUGAAUUUCCAGUAAAGAAACUUGUCAUCGAAAGAAGGAAAAAGAAUUGAAGAAGACAGGGGCCAAGGGGAGUUUGUCAUCAUUUUAAUAUAUAUAUAUGGUGCUUUCCCAUGUAAUAUAAUGGUAUUUUGGAAAAUUUGAAAUCUGCCUGGUUAAAACACAUUCUCCUUUCUUCCAUGAGGGCACAUGUAUUAUUGUUUCUUGUUGAUGUUAAAACAGUUUUAUUACCAAAUACAUACAUUCAGCCUGAAUCUAGCAAGCGCUUAAAAUUUCCAUGAUAUAAAGUUUUUAAAAAAUAGGAAAUCAUAAUAAGGAAAGGAUGUUACUGUUUAAUUGUUCUCUGGGGUAAUAGAAACUGUGUUACUGAACACUUUUUAAUACAUUUUGGCCAAAUUUUGGGUUUCUUAGAUCACAAGGGAAGAAAGCUCUGUUUGCAAGUUUUAUAUUCAUAUUUUACCUACAGAUUAAGAUUUUGGUUUUUAAGGUAGAAACAGAAAUCUGAGGCUUAGGGGAGAGAUUGGAGAUUGAGAUACUACUUAAUCAGUACAAGUCUGUUAAUUAUGGACACGGAUAAAGAUGAGAUCUACAAAUGAAAUAUAUGUUGGAAUAUAUUGACCUGAAGACUGUGCCUUGGAUGCUCUAGCAUUAAGAUAGUGAGCUAAUGAGGAGGACCUAGUAUAUGAGAUUGACAAUAGUGGCUAGAGUCAUUGAGUUAAAAUGAAAAUAUUGUUUUGUCCAUGAAGAGAAAAGAAGAUUUGAAUUUCAAAAAGGAAUAACAGAGGCUGCAGGUGGCUUUUGUGUAGCACUGUAGGGUACAAUAAAGUUUGGAAAUGAAAGAGAUCAUUGAGUUUUGUAAAACUGCUCUAUGUACUGGCAGACUAACUAGUACUUUUUAGUAUGGGCAAGGCCAAAAACAAAAGAUCCCUCUGAGUCAACAGUUUGCCCUGUAAUACUGUUAGCAGUGUCAGUCUGGUACACAUGCAUGCUGAUGGCUUAUGAGAUGAUUCCAUGAAUCAUCAUAAAAUGAAAGUGAAUCUUAGUUGUACAGUUUGAGAUCCCUUUCAGAAUUCCACGCUAUAUGUAUACAAGAUAUAACUGAUUUCUUCACUACAAGUUGUCAGUAUUGCCAUAAUAACUUUCAUGCAAUUUUAUCCUUUAAGUUUCCACCUGUGUGUCUCUGUUCCUGCAUCCAUUGGCUAUGGUAGAAUAUUUUGUUAAGAUAGAAUAUCUUAUUAAGAAUAUCUUAUUAAUAUAGAAUAUCUCAUCAAGAUAGCUCAGUAGUUCCAAAGAUCUUGGCUUUUUGAGAUCUUGACCAAAGACUAUUGAAGAAAUGAAUGGGGGAGGGUCCAAAUGAAAAAGCAUCAACCUAAUCAUGAACAAAUGAAAAAGGAUGACGGUAGGAAUCAAAGUAGUAAAGUCAGAUGAAAUAUAUAGAUGACAGAAUUCUGAAGGAAAAAACUGUAAGGAUAAAGCCAAUAUAUGCUGAACCUAUGUUUUAUUUUACUU